UCUACUAAAAACACAAAAAAUUAGCCGGGCGUGGUGGCGGGUGCCUGUAGUUCCAGCUACUCGGGAGGCUGAGGCAGGAGAAUGGCCUGAACCCGGGAGGCGAAGCUUGCAGUGAGCUGAGAUCGCGCAAUUGCACUCCAGCCUGGGCGAAACAGCGAGACUCCGACUCAAAAAAAAAAGUCCCUCCAUUAAGCACUCAUAUUUUUCUGCUGGGGUUCUGAUGGACCAAGUCUAUCAAAUGAAUGCAUCAUAAUUUGUUUAACCAAUAUCUUGGUGCAUAUGUUGGUUUCCUAUUUUUCAUUAUGUAAACAGUUCUUUGAUGAAUCUAGGUGAUUUUGCACACUUUCUUGUACAUCAUAGGAGACAUUACUAGAAGUGGAGUUAACUGAAUCUGAGAGUAUGUUCUUUUGUAAUUUAGAGAAAAGCAUUCACAUUACUCUCCUCUGAAGCUGUACCAAUUUAUAGUUCCACAAACCGUAACUGAGAGUAAGGAUUGCUCUGGGAGGCUGAGGUGGUAGUGGAUACUAGCCUGGGCCCUAUAGCGAGACACCAUCUAUACAAAAACAUUAAAAAAAGUUCUACUACUAGGGUGUGGGAGAAUGCACCUGUGGUCCCAGCUGCUUGGGAGGCUGAGGCAGGAGAAUCGCUUGAACCUGGGAGGCGGAGGUUGCAGUGAUCCAUGAUCCGGCCAUUGCGCUCCAGCCUGGGUGACGAAAGUGAAAUUCCAUCUCAAAAAAAAAAAAAGUUAGCUGGAUGCUGGAUGUGGUGGCAUGUGCCUAUAGUCAGCCACUCAGAAGGCUGAGGUGGGAGGAUCACUUGAGCCUAGGAGUUCAAGGCUGCAGGGAGCCGUGAUCAUACCACUGCACUCCAGCCUGGGCAACACAGCAGACUCUGUCUCAAUUAAAAAAAAAAAAAGCGCAGAAGAAUAUUGGUUUAUGGAGAGUAUUAUUUUAAGUUUUAGAAAUUUUCUAUGCAAAACAAACAAUGGAAAAUAAGAAAUGCAUUACUCUAUAAUAAAAUAUAGCCUUUUCUCUCCCAUAUAUAUAUAUGAGUGGAUAAAAACAGUCAUAACUUCCUACACAUUUAAUCCUCUAUACUAACUCUCAUACCCACUUACCACUCCCUCAAUGACAAACAUACCAAAAAGAUGCUAAAUAAAUGAAAACAAUACUUUGUAUUCUUAACUAUGUAAAGUAUUGUACUUAACAGGUAUUUUCUUGGCUGACUGGUUCUCCAUACCCAACAAACACAGUGAUGUCAACUCUCACCACUCAUAUUAAACAAUAUAGCCAUUGCUGUAAAGUACAAAAGAGAAAUGCAGUACAAAUUGAAAAGGAGGAAAUAAAACUUUUAUUCAUCGCUGAUAUUAUCAGAUACAUAAAAUCCCAAGGAGACAAAAGCUACUACUAAUGAGAUUAGAAGGAUCCCAGAAACAGACACAGACGUGCACACACACCUCCCCACAGACACAGAUACACACUCACAACACACUCAGAAGUACAUUUUAUUUUAUUUUGAGACAGUCUCGCUGUGUCACCCAGGCUGGAGUGCAGUGGCUCCAUCUCAGCUCACUGCAACCUCCGCCUCCUGGGUUCAAGCGAUUCUCCUGCCUCAGCCUCCCCAGUAGGUGGGAUUACAGAUGUGCACCACCAUGCCCGGCUAAUUUUUUGUAUUUUUAGUAGAGAUGGAGUUUCACCAUGUUGGCCAGGCUGGUUUUGAACUCCUGACCUCAAGUGAUCCACUCGCUUUGGCUUCACAAAGUGCUAGGAUUACAGGUGUGAGCCACCACACCCAGCCAGAAGUAUCUUUUAAACAGGAUUUUUAAAAGUGGGAGUUGACCCUUUCCAAAAUCUGGAGUUGGGAUGGGCAUUAGUGGUUUGGAGAGGAAAGAGCAGGUGUGUUGUGGCUGGGAGGCGAUUCCUUUCAGCACCUUGGGUGAUGUCUGAGGCCAUACCCACUUUCUGUGCUAUUUUUGGGAUUAUGAUGAUUAACCCACACUCCCUUUGUUCCUCCCAUGUAACCUGGAUUCUUGGGCAUUCAACCAAUAUUAAACCCUUCCUCUGAAAAAUUCCUGGAUUGACAAGAGCACACUGGACCCAUUUCCAUUCCCCAUCGUGAUCAAUAGGUAUCAAAAGAAAUGAUAGCUUCUUAGAAUAGAAAUUUGCAGCCACUGGGGAAUGUAGUUCUUAAAUGUGAAUACAGAAGAAUCUCUUAUUACAAAAUUCUGUAUGGCUCUGGAUUUAAGAUUUUGUUAUUUUUUAUUUUUGAGACAUGGUCUCUCUCUGUCACUCAGGCUGGAGUGUGGUGGCAUGAUCUCGGCUCACUGCAGCCUCUGCCUCCCAGGCUGAAGCAAUCCUCCCACCUCAUCCUCCCACCUCAUCCUCCUGAGGAGCUGGGACCAUAGGUGCGCACGACCACACCCAGCUAUCUUUUUGUAUUUUUAUAUUUUGCCAAGUUGCCCAGGCUAGUCUCGAACUUCUGAGCUCAAGCAAUCUACCCACCUUGGCCUCUCAAAGUGUCGGGAUUACAGGUGUGAGCCACUGCAGACAGCCAGGAUUUAAGAUUUUAAGAGAUAUUGAAAGCCUUUUGUUAUAAUACCAUUGAAAACAUAAAAUACUUAAAAUUAACAAAAGUUGUGCAAUAGCAUAACUACAAAUCAUUGAUGAGAGAAAUUAAGUAUCUAAAUGAAGAGAUUUAUCAUGGCCACGAAUUAGAAGACUUAAUAUUGUUAAGAUGUCAGUUCUUCUGAAAUUGAUCAACAGAUUACUUGUAAUCCCAAUAAAAAUUUCAGCAGGCUGUUUUUGUUUUGGUAUAAAUUAGUAACAUGAUUUUAAAAUUCUAAGCUGUGGCUGGGCAAGGUAUCUCACGCCUGUAAUCCCAGCACUUUGGGAGGCUGAGGCGGGCAGUUCACCUUAGGUCAGGAGCUUGAGACCAGCCUGGCCAACAUGGCAAAACCCUGUUUCUACUAAAAGUACAAAAAUUAGCUGGGCAUGGUGUUGGGCACUUGUAAUCCCAGCUACUUGGGAGGCUGAGGCAGGAGAAUCACUUGAACCCGGGAGGCAGAGGUUACAGUGAGCCGAGUUCGUGCCACUGCACUCCAGCCUGGGCGACAGAGCGAGACUCUGUCUCAAAAAAAAAAAAAAAAAAAAAAUUCUAGGACGUAUAUCUUUUACAACUACUAGUCAAAGUAAUUAUAAAAGAGUAACAGGCCGGGCGCGGUGGCUCACGCCUGUAAUCCCAGCACUUUGGGAGGCCGAGGCGGGCGGAUCACGAGGUCAGGAGAUCAAGACCAUCCUGGCUAACAUGGUGAAACCCCGUCUCUACUAAAAAUACAAAAAAUUAGCUGGGUGUGGUGGCGGGCGCCUGUAGUCCCAGCUACUCCGGAGGCUGAGGCAGGAGAAUGGCGUGAACCCGGGAGACGGAGCUUGCAGUGAGCGGAGAUUGUGCCACUGCACUCCAGCCUGGGCGACAGAGCAAGACUCCAUCUCAAAAAAAAAAAAAAAAAAAAAAAAGAGUAACGAAUUCAGAGGGCUCACCUUAUUUUACAAUAAAGUAGUGUAGGCAUAUACUGAUCAAUGAAACAGAAAAGAAGGUCUAGAAACAGACACUUAUAUAAUCAACUGAUUUUUGAUUAAGGUGCCAAAGCUAUUCAAUGGGAGAAAGGAAAGUCUUUUAACGAAAGUGUUGGAAUAACUGAAUUUCCUUAAGGAAAAAAUAUGCUUUUGCUCUUAUUUCACGCUAUAUUUAAAAAUUAACUCAUAAUGACUCAGACUUAAAAGUAAAAGCUAUAACUAUGAAUUCUUCAAAAGAAAGCAUAGGAGAAAAUCUUUGUGAACUUGGGGUAGACAAAGAUUUUUAAAAUGGAAAAAUCGAUCAUAGUUCUUUAUUUGGAAAUUAAAAUAAAAAUGCCAUAAGCAAUGACACAAAAAAUGGCAUACCUAGCAUUACAUUUGGCUUACAUUUAGUGUAAGAUCUACACAGUAAAACCCGCUAAACAUUGCUGUGUCAUGUUGAGGAAUUUUUUCCUUCCUUCCCUUCCUUCCUUCCUCCCUCCCUCUUUCUUUUCUUUUCUCUUUUCUCUUUCUUUCUUUCCUUUCUUUCUUUCUUUUCUUCCUUCCUUUCUUUCUUUUUCUUUCUUUCCUUUCUUUCUUUCCUUCCUUUCUCCAUCUCUUCCUCCUUUCCUCCCUCCCUCCCUUUUAUUUUCCUUCCUUCCUUCCUUCCUUCUCCCUCUCUUUUUUUUUUUUUUUAAGACAGAGUCUCCCUCUGUCAUUUAGGCUGGAGUGCAGUGGCACGAUCACAGCUCACUGCAGCCUUGUCCUCCCAGGCUCAAGCCAUCCUCCCACCUUAGCCUUCCAAGUAGCUGGGACUACAGGUGCACAUCACCAUGCCCAGCCAAUUUUUGUAUUUUUUGUAAAGACAGGGUUUCACCAUUUUGCCAAGGCUGGUCUUGAACUCCUGAGCUCAAGCGGUCCUGCCUGCCUUGGCCUCCCAAAGUGCUGGGAUUACAGGUGUGAGCCACCGCACCUGGCCAAUCUUUUCUUUUUCUUUCAUGAAAGUUGUACUAUUUAUGGAGUACAUGUGAUGUUUUGACACAUAGACAAAAUGUGUAAUAAUCGAAUCAAAGAAAUUCGGAUAUCCAUAACUUCAGGCAUUUAUCAUUUCUCUGUAUUAGGCACAUUCCAAUUCCACUCUCAGUUAUUUUGAAAUAUACUAUAAAUCAUUGUUAACUACAUUCACCCUAUUGUGCUACCAAACACUAGAUCUUAUUCUUUCCAUAUAACUGUAUUUUUGUACCCAUUAACCAUCUCCUUUUUAUCCUCCC
RNAcentral lists this long non-coding RNA (4822 nucleotides) under Homo sapiens (human). Its description in RNAcentral is "HSALNT0397941". Lineage: Eukaryota; Metazoa; Chordata; Mammalia; Primates; Hominidae. The record is from RNAcentral.